This 119-nucleotide ribosomal RNA is filed under the name Bacillus sp. C1-1. RNAcentral describes it as "partial 16S ribosomal RNA". It matches the Rfam family "Bacterial small subunit ribosomal RNA", at positions 1 to 116 of the family's 1533-position model. Lineage: Bacteria; Bacillati; Bacillota; Bacilli; Caryophanales; Bacillaceae. The record is from RNAcentral.
UUAACGGAGAGUUUGAUCCUGGCUCAGGACGAACGCUGGCGGCGUGCCUAAUACAUGCAAGUCGAGCGGACAGAAGGGAGCUUGCUCCCGGACGUUAGCGGCGGACGGGUGAGUAACAC